Molecule: long non-coding RNA, 1149 nt
Filed under: Sarcophilus harrisii (Tasmanian devil)
Lineage: Eukaryota; Metazoa; Chordata; Mammalia; Dasyuromorphia; Dasyuridae
Description: lncRNA (ENSSHAG00000022621.1)
Source: RNAcentral
AUGUGCCUGAGCUCCACCAGCAGGAGCGCCGAGGCUGCUCCCCUGGCCUGCAGAACCCGGCGGGCAGGGCUGUGCCCCGCUCCCCCCACGUUGGUGUUCGUGGGCCCUGGUUGGAUAGGGCCCCUCCUCGAAGCGGUUUUGUUUCUCCCGUUGCUUCCCUUUUCUCCCUCGAUCUGUCCGGAGAAGAAGGAUGGUGGGUUCUUUCUUUCGGCGGUCUUAGACCCAGAAUCUGCAAGGGGCAGCUCAGGCCAGUUAUUUGGAGAUCAUCACUUCUCUCUGGUUGCAGAGGACCCUGGUCUUGCCCCAUCUCCAUCUGUCUCACCAAUACGGAGUCUCACCAAAGGGCCCGACUUGGAUGACGUCCAUUUGAGGAAGUGCUACCAUGACCUCCUUGGAAUAAACAUUGGUCAGGAUGUACUUUGGAUCUUAUUUACCAGAAUUUUGGAGAACAUCGGACCUCACAGAUCUCAUCAAGUGCUCCCUCCUAGGAUGCAGGUGGCAGCUCAGAAUAUAUCCUGGGACACUUGUUGCACAUUUCCCCCCAGGGAGUCCAUGCUUCCAGGAAGGCGUCUGCUUUGCUUUCUUCUGGCAGUGCAAGAGCACUACUAGUGCACCAAGGUUGCUCUCUCUGGCUAUUCAUUUUCAUCACUUUCCCUGGGGUCACUCUGCUAGUUGCUUGAGUCCUUCACUCUCACUUUUUAGAGAGAUGAUGCCACGAAAAAACUGGCUUGGGCCCUCAUCUCUCUGAGGUUCCUGUGCCACAAAAACUGGACCUUGGGGCUUGGUCUCGGUAUCUGAAGGGAUCAGGAGAGUAUAUAUUUGGGUUCCCCAGGAUGUGAGUUUUACAGCCACUCCAACAUCAAUGCCUCAGGGCACUAACUUUUCAGUCAUUUAUCUAUUAGUGCUUAAAACUGUACCAAGAGUUUGGGGACAGCCUGAAUGUGUGUAUUGCACAUAUGUGCGUAUAUCAUAUAUAGGCAUGUAACAUAAAUAUACAUUUGUUAUAUACAUAUAAUUUAUGUCUAUAUUUGUAUUUGGAUGUUAAAACAGAAGGUAUCAAUAAAAUAAAAUACCUAUUUUUAUAAUAAUUAUAUUAUAGUAUAAAAUUAUAUUAUAAAUAAUAUUUUAUAAGUGGGAGCUAUUAAAAGA